Molecule: ribosomal RNA, 413 nt
Filed under: Camaenidae sp. BL56
Lineage: Eukaryota; Metazoa; Mollusca; Gastropoda; Stylommatophora; Camaenidae
Description: partial 16S ribosomal RNA
Rfam family: Bacterial large subunit ribosomal RNA
Source: RNAcentral
CAAAAACAUAGCUUAGUGUAUUAUAUAUUAGGUAAUUUCUGCUCAAUGAGAAUCUUAAAUAGCCGCAGUACCCUGACUGUGCAAAGGUAGCAUAAUCACUUGACUUCUAAUUAAAGUCUUGCAUGAAUGAAUAUACGAAGGGUUUGCUAUAUUAUUGAUAGGACAAAAAAUUAAUUAGUGAGUGAAAAUGCUCACGGAAUAAAUAUUAGACGAGAAGACCCUAGAAAUUUAUAAUGACAUUUUGUUGGGGCAACAUAGUAGCACUCCUUUAACCUACAGAAUUAUCGCUUGCAGUAAUAACGGUUUGAUUAAAUUACUCUAGGGAUAACAGCAUUAUACGUGAGUGUUUGUGACCUCGAUGUUGGAUUAGGGAGUUGUAGCUUAGAAAGCAACCAAAACGCUCUGUUCGAGCG